This 254-nucleotide unclassified non-coding RNA is filed under the name uncultured Gemmatimonadota bacterium. Its description in RNAcentral is "uncultured Gemmatimonadetes bacterium contains 16S-23S intergenic spacer region". It matches the Rfam family "Bacterial small subunit ribosomal RNA", at positions 524 to 776 of the family's 1533-position model. Lineage: Bacteria; Pseudomonadati; Gemmatimonadota. The record is from RNAcentral.
UACAGAGGGUGCGAGCGUUGUUCGGAAUUAUUGGGCGUAAAGCGCACGUCGGUGGCUCGUUAAGUCGGACUGUGAAAGACCGGGGCUCAACCCCGGGGCUGCAGCGGAUACUGGCGGACUUGAGACACGUAGAGGCGAGUGGAAUUCCGGGUGUAGCGGUGGAAUGCGUAGAGAUCCGGAAGAACACCGGUGGCGAAGGCGGCUCGCUGGGCGUGGUCUGACACUGAGGUGCGAAGGCGUGGGGAGCGAACAGG